GAUGAACGCUAGCGGCAGGCCUAACACAUGCAAGUCGAGGGAGAAGCCCUUCGGGGCAGAAACCGGCGCACGGGUGCGUAACGCGUAUGCAACCUACCUUUCACAGGGGGAUAGCCCGAAGAAAUUUGGAUUAAUACCCCAUAAUAUUAUUGGAUGGCAUCAUUUGAUAAUUAAAAUUACGAUGGUGAAAGAUGGGCAUGCGUCCUAUUAGCUAGUUGGAGUGGUAACGGCACCCCAAGGCUACGAUAGGUAGGGGUCCUGAGAGGGAGAUCCCCCACACUGGUACUGAGACAGGGACCAGACUCCUACGGGAGGCAGCAGUGAGGAAUAUUGGUCAAUGGUCGGAAGACUGAACCAGCCAUGCCGCGUGCAGGAAGAAUGCCUUAUGGGUUGUAAACUGCUUUUAUAUGGGAAGAAUAAGGAGUACGUGUACUUUGANGACGGUNCCA
This 449-nucleotide ribosomal RNA is filed under the name uncultured bacterium. Its description in RNAcentral is "bacterial SSU rRNA". It matches the Rfam family "Bacterial small subunit ribosomal RNA", at positions 28 to 480 of the family's 1533-position model. The record is from RNAcentral.